AGAGCGAACGCUGGCGGCAGGCCUAACACAUGCAAGUCGAGCGCCCCGCAAGGGGAGCGGCAGACGGGAGAGUAACACGUGGGAACGUACCCUUCAGUUCGGAACAACCCAGGGAAACUUGGGCUAAUACCGAAUACGUCCGUAAGGAGAAAGAUUUAUCGCUGAAGGAUCGGCCCGCGUCUGAUUAGCUUGUUGGUGAGGUAACGGCUCACCAAGGCGACGAUCAGUAGCUGGUCUGAGAGGAUGAUCAGCCUCACUGGGACUGAGACACGGCCCAGACUCCUACGGGAGGCAGCAGUGGGGAAUAUUGGACAAUGGGCGCAAGCCUGAUCCAGCCAUGCCGCGUGGGUGAUGAAGGCCCUAGGGUUGUAAAGCCCUUUCGGCGGGGAAGAUAAUGACGGUACCCGCAGAAGAGCCCCGGCUAACUUCGUGCCAGCAGCCGC
RNAcentral lists this ribosomal RNA (443 nucleotides) under uncultured bacterium. Its description in RNAcentral is "SSU rRNA". It matches the Rfam family "Bacterial small subunit ribosomal RNA", at positions 26 to 518 of the family's 1533-position model. The record is from RNAcentral.